This 84-nucleotide small RNA is filed under the name Flavobacterium lacus. RNAcentral's name for it is "Flavo-1 RNA". It matches the Rfam family "Flavo-1 RNA". The record is from RNAcentral. Lineage: Bacteria; Pseudomonadati; Bacteroidota; Flavobacteriia; Flavobacteriales; Flavobacteriaceae.
UUCUAGCCCCGAUUGAAGUGGAAAUCAUCUUUGGCAAAGUUUUUAACUUUUCCAAAGAUAUUGUAACGGAAAGCGGGAACAUGG